Non-coding RNA from Pelobates cultripes (western spadefoot toad), 648 nucleotides. The record is from the annotation of a GenBank genome assembly. NCBI's taxonomy places the organism in Eukaryota, Metazoa, Chordata, Amphibia, Anura, Pelobatidae.
GCACUUUAUAUUAUUGGGUCUUAAAGACACAGCGCACCUUAUUAUUUUUAAGUAUAAACAAUCCUGAGUACCUGGACCUAAUUUAUUUUAUCCACUAAACUGGGUUUGGCCAACCUCAGCCCUGAUAAGCACCUGGAUUCCUAAGUGUGAGUGUGGUAUCCUCAGUUUGUGAAUUACUACAGUUCUCCUAGCAGUCCAUCUAACACAUCUCAGCUCCUGAAAAAGACUUCACCCAAUUAUGGAUUUACAAAGUCCGAGAAUAAGACGAGCCCUGUGUAUGUCUGUAUCCCUAUUGAUGCUGUGUCCUUGAUGAGGUCAAUCUGAGAACUGUGAACCUGACAUGAGCUUUUAGAAGAAAAUAGUAAAAGUGUGGCAUUGAAGAUUUGAGGAUUUGUUCCCACUGAGAAAAUCUGUCAAACCCUGUGAGAGUGUCUGACCUGUUCUCUAACACUUUACAUCAGAUGGGUGCGUGAAAGUAUUAAACUCUCACAAAUCCUGCACUUUCGUCUUCUGUUACGUGAAGGGCAGACCGUUCGUAUAUCAGAUCUAUGCAUUUAGCAGUGUGAAAUUAGCUUUCAGUAAAUGUGAUAUGUGUGAAUAUACAUAUUGCUUUCAUUUUGUAUGAGGGAGCAAAGAUUAGAGGCCAAG